Long non-coding RNA from Eubalaena glacialis (North Atlantic right whale), 318 nucleotides. RefSeq lists it as uncharacterized. Lineage: Eukaryota; Metazoa; Chordata; Mammalia; Artiodactyla; Balaenidae. The record is from RefSeq and is a predicted model, not a curated record. The transcript has 4 exons.
AGAAGACUGAAUGCAAAAGCAGCUUUGGGAGAAGAUAACUGCCAUGUCAUGUAAGCAGCCCUACAGAGAGGCCCAUCUGGCAAGGAACUGAGGCCUUCUGCCAACAGCCAUGUGAGUGAUCUUGGAAGCAUACUCUCCACCUUCAUCGGACAACUGAGCACCAGCUGACUACCUGACUGCAGCCAGCAGAGUCUAAUAGGAAGCCAGCUGGCCAUGCCCAAAUGUCACUUUCAGAGUACCAAUGCAAGCUCCAGUAACUGGCAAAUGAAAAGACCUGGAAGCAAUGACAGCUCAGUGCCAAUGAACAAAUCCAGAGCC